Molecule: ribosomal RNA, 560 nt
Filed under: Trigonopterus sp. 513 AR-2020
Lineage: Eukaryota; Metazoa; Arthropoda; Insecta; Coleoptera; Curculionidae
Description: SSU rRNA
Rfam family: Eukaryotic small subunit ribosomal RNA
Source: RNAcentral
GCUUGUCUCAAAGAUUAAGCCAUGCAUGUCUCAGUACAAGCCAAAUUAAGGUGAAACCGCGAAAGGCUCAUUAAAUCAGUUAUGGUUCCUUAGAUCGUACCCACAAUUACUUGGAUAACUGUGGUAAUUCUAGAGCUAAUACAUGCAAACAGAGCUCCGACCGGAGACGGAAGGAGUGCUUUUAUUAGAUCAAAACCAAUCGGUGGCGGGUUCGCUCGUUAUCGUACAACUUGGUGACUCUGAAUAACUUUUCGCUGAUCGCACGGUCAUCGCACCGGCGACGCAUCUUUCAAAUGUCUGCCUUAUCAACUGUCGAUGGUAGGUUCUGCGCCUACCAUGGUUGUAACGGGUAACGGGGAAUCAGGGUUCGAUUCCGGAGAGGGAGCCUGAGAAACGGCUACCACAUCCAAGGAAGGCAGCAGGCGCGCAAAUUACCCACUCCCGGCACGGGGAGGUAGUGACGAAAAAUAACGAUACGGGACUCAUCCGAGGCCCCGUAAUCGGAAUGAGUACACUCUAAACCCUUUAACGAGGAUCAAUUGGAGGGCAAGUCUGGUGCC